RNAcentral lists this transfer RNA (82 nucleotides) under Endocarpon pusillum Z07020. It matches the Rfam family "tRNA". From Rfam's summary of the family: Transfer RNA (tRNA) molecules are approximately 80 nucleotides in length. The record is from Rfam by way of RNAcentral. Lineage: Eukaryota; Fungi; Ascomycota; Eurotiomycetes; Verrucariales; Verrucariaceae.
GCUUGUUUAGUUUAGUGGUAAAAUACGGUCUUCCCACGCCAAGAGUCUGGCCGUGUCGCUGGUUCGAUUCCUGCAACAAGCA